Molecule: non-coding RNA, 75 nt
Organism: Paramuricea clavata
Lineage: Eukaryota; Metazoa; Cnidaria; Anthozoa; Malacalcyonacea; Plexauridae
Source: the annotation of a GenBank genome assembly
GACUCUGUAUAGCUCAGUUGGUUAGAGCGAUGCUCCGGAAUUGCAGGACAGCAGGUUCGAAUCCUGCCAGGGAUC